CCUACGGGAGGCAGCAGUGGGGAAUAUUGGGCAAUGGGCGCAAGCCUGACCCAGCAACGCCGCGUGAAGGAAGAAGGCUUUCGGGUUGUAAACUUCUUUUCUCAGGGACGAAGCAAGUGACGGUACCUGAGGAAUAAGCCACGGCUAACUACGUGCCAGCGGCCGCGGUAAUACGUAGGUGGCAAGCGUUAUCCGGAUUUACUGGGUGUAAGGGGCGUGUAGGCGGGAAAGCAAGUCAGAUGUGAAAACCAGGGGCUCAACCUUUGGCCUGCAUUUGAAACUGUUUUUCUUGAGUACUGGAGAGGCAGACGGAAUUCCUAGUGUAGCGGUGAAAUGCGUAGAUAUUAGGAGGAACACCAGUGGCGAAGGCGGUCUGCUGGACAGCAACUGACGCUGAGGCGCGAAAGCGUGGGGAGCAAACAGGAUUAGAUACCCCGGUAGUC
RNAcentral lists this ribosomal RNA (443 nucleotides) under uncultured bacterium. RNAcentral's name for it is "partial 16S ribosomal RNA". It matches the Rfam family "Bacterial small subunit ribosomal RNA", at positions 338 to 795 of the family's 1533-position model. The record is from RNAcentral.